GUUUGCACUCAUCGGGGAAGGGUGAGAACCUUCGACUAAGGUUCGAUUCGAGCGAAAGCGAGAGAACGUUGCCACAGGCAACGGCCCGAAGGGUGAGGAGCAAAGCGACGAAUAAUCCUUCCCCCACCACCA
Molecule: small RNA, 132 nt
Filed under: Escherichia coli
Lineage: Bacteria; Pseudomonadati; Pseudomonadota; Gammaproteobacteria; Enterobacterales; Enterobacteriaceae
Description: RtT sRNA
Rfam family: RtT RNA
About the family: This family represents a bacterial cis-regulatory element known as RtT RNA. The exact function of RtT is unknown although it is thought that it may be involved in changing the cellular response in relation to amino acid starvation.
Source: RNAcentral